This 160-nucleotide ribosomal RNA is filed under the name Otidea cochleata. Its description in RNAcentral is "5.8S ribosomal RNA". It matches the Rfam family "5.8S ribosomal RNA". Rfam says of the family: 5.8S ribosomal RNA (5.8S rRNA) is a component of the large subunit of the eukaryotic ribosome. Lineage: Eukaryota; Fungi; Ascomycota; Pezizomycetes; Pezizales; Pyronemataceae. The record is from RNAcentral.
AACUUUCAACAACGGAUCUCUUGGUUCCAGCAUCGAUGAGAAACGCAGCGAAAUGCGAAAAGUAAUAAGUGAAUUGCAGAGCCAUAAGUGGAACAUCGAAUCUUUGAACGCACAUUGCGUGUCAGCGGUAUAUAACCCGUGACACAUGCUUUUUUGAGCG